AAGCAGGACUGGCGAUGUGGAUGAACCAAACGUAAAGUUAUAGUGCCUAAAAGUACGUUCAUCAGAUACCACAAAAGGUGUUGAUUCAUCUUGACAGUUGGACAGUGGCCAUGGAAGUCGGAAUCUGCUAAGGAGUGUGUAACAACUCACCAACCGAAUGAAUUAGCCCUGAAAAUGGAUGGCGCUUAAACGUAUUACUUAUACUUUACCAUUAAGAUAAAUGCUAAAUCUUAAUGAGUAGGAGGGCGUAUGGAUAAUUUAGAAGACUGACAGUGAUGUUGGUUUGGAAUUAUCUUUAGUGCAGAUCUUGGUGGUAGUAGCAAAUAUUCAAUAGUAGAACAUUGAAGACUGAAGUGGAGAAAGGUUUCACAUGAACAACACUUUGGAUGUGAGUUAGUCGAUCCUAAACGGUGGGUUAACUCCAAAUACAUGAAUACUUGUAUUCUGUACCGUGAAAGGGAAACAGGUUAAUAUUCCUGUACUAUAUCAAGGAGGC
RNAcentral lists this ribosomal RNA (496 nucleotides) under uncultured eukaryote. RNAcentral describes it as "eukaryotic LSU rRNA". It matches the Rfam family "Eukaryotic large subunit ribosomal RNA", at positions 1142 to 1638 of the family's 3401-position model. The record is from RNAcentral.